RNAcentral lists this ribosomal RNA (271 nucleotides) under uncultured prokaryote. RNAcentral describes it as "partial 16S ribosomal RNA". It matches the Rfam family "Bacterial small subunit ribosomal RNA", at positions 524 to 794 of the family's 1533-position model. The record is from RNAcentral.
UACGUAGGUGGCAAGCGUUAUCCGGAUUUACUGGGUUUAAAGGGUGCGCAGGCGGGGGAUUAAGUCGGCGGUGAAAUUUUGCAGCUCAACUGUAAAAGUGCCUUCGAAACUGGUUUCCUUGAGUGUAGAUGAAGUAGGCGGAAUUUGUGGUGUAGCGGUGAAAUGCAUAGAUAUCACGAGGAACUCCGAUUGCGCAGGCAGCUUACUAAACUACUACUGACGCUCAGGCACGAAGGCGUGGGGAUCAAACAGGAUUAGAUACCCUGGUAGU